GACGAACGCUGGCGGCGUGCUUAACACAUGCAAGUCGAACGGAAAGGCCCUGCUUUUGUGGGGUGCUCGAGUGGCGAACGGGUGAGUAACACGUGAGUAACCUGCCCUUGACUUUGGUAUCACUUCAGGAAACUGGGGCUAAUCCCGUAUAGGAGCUCCUGCUGCAUGGUGGGGGUUGGAAUGUUUCGGCGGUUGGGGAUGGACUCGCGGCUUAUCAGCUUGUUGGUGGGGUAGUGGCUUACCAAGGCUUUCACGGGUAGCCGGCCUGAGAGGGGGACCGGCCACAUUGGGACUGAGAUACGGCCCAGACUCCUACGGGAGGCAGAAGUGGGGAAUAUUGCACAAUGGGCGGAAGCCGGAUGCAGCAAGGCCGCGUGCGGGAGGACGGCCUUCGGGUUGUAAACCGCUUUGGCCUGUGACGAAGCGUGAGUGACGGUAAUGGGUAAAGAAGCACCGGCUAACUACGUG
This 468-nucleotide ribosomal RNA is filed under the name uncultured bacterium. RNAcentral describes it as "partial 16S ribosomal RNA". It matches the Rfam family "Bacterial small subunit ribosomal RNA", at positions 28 to 507 of the family's 1533-position model. The record is from RNAcentral.